Molecule: non-coding RNA, 222 nt
Organism: Vicia faba (fava bean)
Lineage: Eukaryota; Viridiplantae; Streptophyta; Magnoliopsida; Fabales; Fabaceae
Source: the annotation of a GenBank genome assembly
AUGGCUUCAUGGAAGAAAACUAUUGCAACCCCAUUCAAGAAAGCUUGCACUUUCUUCAACCAACAACCACCAAGGGAACAUAAGAAAUCUCAAAUAGAACAAGAGAAUCGUGUAAUGGAUCUUCAUGGUGAAGUCAUGGCUUGUGGUUAUGAAGAUGUUCAUGUUAUGUGGUCGAUACUUGACAAAUCAAAAUCGUCAUCUUGUAAUAUAACUUCUUCAUAG